GGGCCGGUAGCUCAGCUUGGCUGGAGCGUUCGACUGAUAAUCGAAAGGUCGAGAGUUCGAAUCUCUCUCGGCCCACCA
This 78-nucleotide transfer RNA is filed under the name Candidatus Nitrosotenuis cloacae. RNAcentral describes it as "tRNA-Ile (GAT) (tRNA-Ile-GAT-1-1)". It matches the Rfam family "tRNA". Rfam says of the family: Transfer RNA (tRNA) molecules are approximately 80 nucleotides in length. Their secondary structure includes four short double-helical elements and three loops (D, anti-codon, and T loops). The record is from RNAcentral. RNAcentral also lists the same sequence under 4 other names. Lineage: Archaea; Thermoproteati; Nitrososphaerota.